Molecule: long non-coding RNA, 1517 nt
Organism: Mya arenaria
Lineage: Eukaryota; Metazoa; Mollusca; Bivalvia; Myida; Myidae
Exons: 8
Source: RefSeq, a predicted model, not a curated record
GUUUUUGUUAGUUUUGAUUCCAAAAUACCGGGUUGUCUCAUAAAUUAGAUAGACAGUAGAUAGCUUCGACGUUUACGUAGAAGACGCAAGGUGGUCAUUGUUCGAUCCAAAAUAUCCAUUCAUGAGCCCUGAAUAUUCCUUGCCAUGUGACCAGCAUUCAAAAAGGGCUACAAGACAGAAAAAAACAUUUCCAAAUCUGGAUAUUUGUCCCUCUAACUCCCAGCAAUGGUUUCAAAAACUUUAUGGUGAAAUAUGAUGUUAUUCACACACUUAGAAUUUCAGUCAGAUUUGGAAUGGAGGAGGCAGAUGGUGGUGUCUUGUUGACUGGAAGUGCACCUGCAGAUGCGCAGUAGUUCUGGUGAGCUACAUGGGGCUCUUGAACCUGGAUACCUUCACAAAGUGCAACCAAUAGUGUGUGCUUUUCAAAAACCAUUCAGACAUUGGUGCAAAGUGGGGUGGAAGGGGGCCAUCAGGAAUACUAAAUCCAAAGGGAGCCUGGUUGCUGAAGCUCUGGUGGGACUUCUAAAGACAAGAAUUUGUGCUGGUCAACACCUGGUCCUGUCAUGAAUUGCAAACCGGCUGCCUGGGCAAGAGUUUCCGAGAAAAGAAUACUGUCUCUAAUUCUGGUGUGCCAAAAAGCUGCGGCAUCGGCAAGUGGUCAUGCAAACUAAAACUGGGAGAUGCAGCUCUGAAUCACAUAUUUCAGGAGAAUGAAGAUGUUAGUCACCCCCAUGAAACUACUGUUGAGAUGUCAUCAACGGGAAACUCGAUGUUUCACCAGAAAGGACACGGGUUUUUUUUCAAACUGCCAUCAAGAGCUUCAAAAGGAUAACAUCUGUAUAAGGUGCACAUGGGGUGGAAUUUCUGUGUGAGUGCAAACAUAUUGCUGCGUCUUCACUGGUAUCAUGGAUUCUCUCAACUACCCACAGAUCCUGAAAGACAACCUCAUACCAUUCACAGGCAAACAUUAUCCUAAAGGAUUUAGGCAUCCAGAUUUUGAUGCCAAACAUACAAGUAGAAGUACCAUGCAAUGGAUGAAAGACAACGAUGUCCAACUUUUGUCAUGUCCAGAAUAAAAUCCCGACAUUUGGUUCUCCAUGAAGGACUUCUUGAAACGAAAGCAUGAGGAUGAAUUGUUGGCAGGCAUUGUCAUGUUUUGCAAGUCAAUGACUGUCACGGAGUGCAGAAUCUACAUCAGCCAUAUUCACAAAGUGAUGCCUGCAGUUGUAUUAGAGAAUGGUCAUCCUACAGUGUAUUAUUAAAUUUAUUCCUGUAUCUACCAUCAGUGCAAAUCAAAUAAGUGGACAUUCUUGACAACUUCUAAACAGAGGAUAUUUCUAAUUAAUUAUAAGUGGAGAUAUAUAUACUUGGUAUCAAAUAGGAUUAUAAUGUACAUGUUUUUAUGAACACAACAAUCACGAUUAUUAAAAGAAUCAAAGUACUGAAAGAAACUGAAGUACGUCUGUAAAGCCUACCUUUGUGUCAUUAAAUAUGGUCUUUAUUAAAUGUUGACUAAU